RNAcentral lists this long non-coding RNA (346 nucleotides) under Salvia miltiorrhiza (redroot sage). RNAcentral describes it as "long non-coding RNA (SMIL_LNC003237)". Lineage: Eukaryota; Viridiplantae; Streptophyta; Magnoliopsida; Lamiales; Lamiaceae. The record is from RNAcentral.
UAAUUGACCCUCGAUCACCAAAACCCCCAAAAUCAGAAACCCUAGCUCCCUCAUCCUCGACGUUGGUCGCCGCCGUCCGGAUCCCAAACAACGGCGCCGCUCUUUCCCAAACAACAGCGUCGUUCUCUUGAUUUCUUUCUUUUCUCACGGCGGACAACCUCCACAUCUUUCUCGAGGGCGACAACAGUAACGCCGCCCAGCCGGAGGAUCACCUCGCCGCGGCGGCAGCAGUAACGCUGCCUUCAUCCUCCAUCAACCGGCUGAGAAGAACCCACUGGCGCCGCCGUCUCUCUUUCUACCAAACAACAUCGGCCAAAAAGCAAAACUCACCGCCACCGCCGUUUAU